Molecule: ribosomal RNA, 253 nt
Filed under: uncultured bacterium
Lineage: Bacteria
Description: partial 16S ribosomal RNA
Rfam family: Bacterial small subunit ribosomal RNA
Source: RNAcentral
UACGUAGGGUGCAAGCGUUAAUCGGAAUUACUGGGCGUAAAGCGUGCGCAGGCGGUUUUGUAAGUCUGUCGUGAAAGCCCCGGGCUUAACCUGGGAAUGGCAUUGGAAACUGGCUCGCUGGAGUGUGGCAGAGGGGGGUGGAAUUCCGCGUGUAGCAGUGAAAUGCGUAGAGAUGCGGAGGAACACCGAUGGCGAAGGCAGCCCCUGGGCUAACACUGACGCUCAGGCACGAAAGCGUGGGGAGCAAACAGGG